ACGUACACUCCUACGGGAGGCAGCAGUGGGGAAUAUUGGACAAUGGGCGCAAGCCUGAUCCAGCCAUGCCGCGUGAGUGAUGAAGGCCCUAGGGUUGUAAAGCUCUUUCACCGGUGAAGAUAAUGACGGUAACCGGAGAAGAAGCCCCGGCUAACUUCGUGCCAGCAGCCGCGGUAAUACGAAGGGGGCUAGCGUUGUUCGGAUUUACUGGGCGUAAAGCGCACGUAGGCGGACUAUUAAGUCAGAGGUGAAAUCCCGGGGCUCAACCCCGGAACUGCCUUUGAUACUGGUAGUCUUGAGUUCGAGAGAGGUGAGUGGAAUUCCGAGUGUAGAGGUGAAAUUCGUAGAUAUUCGGAGGAACACCAGUGGCGAAGGCGGCUCACUGGCUCGAUACUGACGCUGAGGUGCGAAAGCGUGGGGAGCAAACAGGAUUAGAAACCCUUGUAGUCCCAUGA
This 455-nucleotide ribosomal RNA is filed under the name uncultured organism. RNAcentral describes it as "partial 16S ribosomal RNA". It matches the Rfam family "Bacterial small subunit ribosomal RNA", at positions 329 to 800 of the family's 1533-position model. The record is from RNAcentral.